Molecule: ribosomal RNA, 253 nt
Filed under: uncultured bacterium
Lineage: Bacteria
Description: partial 16S ribosomal RNA
Rfam family: Bacterial small subunit ribosomal RNA
Source: RNAcentral
UACAGAGGGGGCAAGCGUUGCUCGGAAUCACUGGGCGUAAAGCGCACGUAGGCGGAUCUUUAAGUCAGGGGUGAAAUCCUGGAGCUCAACUCCAGAACUGCCUUUGAUACUGGGGAUCUCGAGUCCGGAAGAGGUGAGUGGAACUCCGAGUGUAGAGGUGAAAUUCGUAGAUAUUCGGAAGAACACCAGUGGCGAAGGCGACACACUGGCCCAUUACUGACGCUGAGGCUCGAAAGCGUGGGGAGCAAACAGG